RNAcentral lists this transfer RNA (72 nucleotides) under Colletotrichum orbiculare MAFF 240422. RNAcentral describes it as "tRNA-Ala (CGC) (tRNA-Ala-CGC-4-1)". It matches the Rfam family "tRNA". From Rfam's summary of the family: Transfer RNA (tRNA) molecules are approximately 80 nucleotides in length. The record is from RNAcentral. Lineage: Eukaryota; Fungi; Ascomycota; Sordariomycetes; Glomerellales; Glomerellaceae.
GGGCGCUUGGUCUAGGGGUAUGAUUCUCGCUUCGCAUGUGAGCGGUCCGGGGUUCAAUUCCCCGAGUGUCCA